Molecule: ribosomal RNA, 340 nt
Filed under: Candidatus Bathyarchaeota archaeon
Lineage: Archaea; Thermoproteati; Candidatus Bathyarchaeota
Description: bacterial SSU rRNA
Rfam family: Archaeal small subunit ribosomal RNA
Source: RNAcentral
GCAGGUCAGUAUGCCCCGAAUCCCCCGGGCCACACGCGAGCUGCAAUGGCAGGGACAAUGGGUUCCGACCCCGAAAGGGGGAGGCAAUCCCUAAACCCUGCCGUAGUUGGGAUCGAGGGCUGCAACCCGCCCUCGUGAACAUGGAAUCCCUAGUAAUCGCGCGUCACCAUCGCGCGGUGAAUACGUCCCUGCUCCUUGCACACACCGCCCGUCGCUCCACCCGAGCGGGGCUUGGGUGAGGCGUGGUCAAGUUGGCUGCGUCGAACCCAAGCUCCGUGAGGGGGGAGAAGUCGUAACAAGGUGGCCGUAGGGGAACCUGCGGCCGGAUCACCUCCUAUGC